AACGAACGUUAGCGGCGCGCUUAACACAUGCAAGUCGAGCGAGAAAGGGGCAACCCCGGUAAAGCGGCGCACGGGUGAGUAACACGUAGGUAAUCUACCCUCGGGUGGAGGAUAACUUUCCGAAAGGAAGGCUAAUACUGCAUGAGACCACGACCUCGAAAGGGGAUGGGGUCAAAGCCGGCCUCUGUACACAAGCUGGCGCCUGAGGAUGAGCCUGCGGCCCAUCAGCUAGUGUAGGGUAAUGGCUACCAAGGCGAAGACGGGUAGCUGGUCUGAGAGGAUGAUCAGCCACACUGGAACUGAGACACGGUCCAGACUCCUACGGGAGGCAGCAGUGGGGAAUCUUGCGCAAUGGGCGAAAGCCUGACGCAGCGACGCCGCGUGAGUGAUGAAGGCCUCGGUUGUAAGACUCUGUGGAGAGGGACGAAUAAGUAGUUGGCGUAACAUCCAGCAUGAUGACGGUACC
This 466-nucleotide ribosomal RNA is filed under the name uncultured bacterium. Its description in RNAcentral is "bacterial SSU rRNA". It matches the Rfam family "Bacterial small subunit ribosomal RNA", at positions 29 to 479 of the family's 1533-position model. The record is from RNAcentral.